AAAAACGCUAACCAAAAUCCUUCUUACUUCUCAAAGCUUUGAUAGUGUAGUCGAAGUCUUUAUGAGUUUUUGGUUUUGGAUCUUCUAACAGGAAAACACUACUUUCGCUUAUGAAUCAGGUUAAGGUUCUAGUUCUUAUACUCAAUCAUACACACGACAUAUAGUCAUAUUUGACUCCAAAAACACUAACAAAACUUCUUCUUGCUUCUCAAAGCAUUAAUGGUGUAGUCGAAGUCCUUAUGAGUUUUAGGUUUUGAAU
RNAcentral lists this small RNA (259 nucleotides) under Arabidopsis thaliana (thale cress). RNAcentral describes it as "ATSL159360". The record is from RNAcentral. Lineage: Eukaryota; Viridiplantae; Streptophyta; Magnoliopsida; Brassicales; Brassicaceae.